UCCAACUCUUUUUCCACAUAACCCAAUUUUCCUAUGUUAAUCUCAAAAACCAAUAAAAUCCUUUUAAUUAUUUAUCUCUCAGAUCUCAAAGCAUACCAUCCUAAUUGCACGGAUCCCAAAGCUCCAUUCACUCAUCACUCUCACCAUUCCAAAGAUCCCCUAUUCCCAGCUAAUGGAUAAAGCCCAGGCUUCCUCACGCUCCCGGGUCUUCGAGCCGUGAGCGUUUCUUCUUCGACUUCCCUUCACGAAAACAAGGAGCAGUUCCCUUUCAUCCCGAGAUCCCAACUUCCUCCCAACCUCCGAAUCCGAACUCCACCCCAUCCUGUUUCUUCCACGCCGUUCCAUCCUUAUCCGAAUCUCCCAACGUCCCAGCUAUUCUGCUCCACGGUUCAUGCGUGCAACCCGAGUCGGCCACGUCCUGCAUCUUCCCCUGUUCCAUCUUUAUCUCAUGGAUCUUCCCAGCAUCUUCCUAACCUUCCACGACAUUCCUUCUCCGAAGCUUCUCCAGCUAGAUCCCCUCCACGGAUGAACAUCUCCCAGUGUCCAGCUUCAUCUUCCCGAGAUCCCAACUCCAAGCGCCCACAUCUUCGGUAGUCCAAAGAACGAAUCCAAACCUCCACGAACAGAGUACGUCCGCAUGGAUCCAGGUUCCAUCUCCUCCCAUGUCCGGAUACUCCGUGAUCCAACUCCAGCCUCCGAGAUCCUCUCAAACCAAUCCAGUCGUCCACCCUUCCUCUUGUUCCUGGAUAAGCUCCAACCCCCACAUCCACUCGCAUUCAAGCUUCACGUGUUCUUCCCCUGUUUCGNN
RNAcentral lists this long non-coding RNA (808 nucleotides) under Phoenix dactylifera (date palm). RNAcentral's name for it is "long non-coding RNA (PDAC_LNC009123)". Lineage: Eukaryota; Viridiplantae; Streptophyta; Magnoliopsida; Arecales; Arecaceae. The record is from RNAcentral.